Molecule: ribosomal RNA, 184 nt
Filed under: uncultured Bacteroidota bacterium
Lineage: Bacteria; Pseudomonadati; Bacteroidota
Description: uncultured Bacteroidetes bacterium partial 16S ribosomal RNA
Source: RNAcentral
GGGUUAACCUCUCAGUCCCCCUAUGUAUCGUUGCCUUGGUGAGCCGUUACCUCACCAACUAGCUAAUACAACGCAUGUCCAUCUAUAACCACCGGAGUUUUCAACCCGGAGAGAUGCCUCUCCGAAUAUUAUGGGGAAUUAGUACCAAUUUCUCAGUGUUAUGCCCCUGUUAUAGGUAGGUUAC